AGAGGUGUGGCUCAGUGAUAGAACACCUGCCUAGCAAGCAUGCAGCCCUAAGUUCAAACUCAGUACCACCA
This 71-nucleotide transfer RNA is filed under the name Dipodomys ordii (Ord's kangaroo rat). It matches the Rfam family "tRNA". Rfam says of the family: Transfer RNA (tRNA) molecules are approximately 80 nucleotides in length. Their secondary structure includes four short double-helical elements and three loops (D, anti-codon, and T loops). Further hydrogen bonds mediate the characteristic L-shaped molecular structure. tRNAs have two regions of fundamental functional importance: the anti-codon, which is responsible for specific mRNA codon recognition, and the 3' end, to which the tRNAs corresponding amino acid is attached (by aminoacyl-tRNA synthetases). tRNAs cope with the degeneracy of the genetic code in two manners: having more than one tRNA (with a specific anti-codon) for a particular amino acid; and 'wobble' base-pairing, i.e. permitting non-standard base-pairing at the 3rd anti-codon position. Lineage: Eukaryota; Metazoa; Chordata; Mammalia; Rodentia; Heteromyidae. The record is from Rfam by way of RNAcentral.